Long non-coding RNA from Pezoporus flaviventris, 327 nucleotides. RefSeq lists it as uncharacterized. The transcript is spliced from 3 exons. The record is from RefSeq and is a predicted model, not a curated record. NCBI's taxonomy places the organism in Eukaryota, Metazoa, Chordata, Aves, Psittaciformes, Psittacidae.
CAGGAGGAUGAGGAACGGAGAGCAGAAGCAGCGGAGACCCGGAGCAGACAGUGAGGACAGUGAUGGAAAGAAGAAGGAGCCGAUGUCAAUGCCAAAAGCCUAUAAAGCUUCCCAGCGAUCCUGGUAUUGCUGUGGUGGGAAUGAGAAGAUGUCACUGGGAAUGCCUUUGAUUCCCCCUAUCCCAAAGUCAGCAAGACCAUUGGAUGAGGCUCCUCACAGCACUGCAGUGUCUCUCCCAAGCUCUCAGCACCUGUUUUUUCAGAAGACUCUGGAGAUAAGGCCAAGAUCAGGCAGCAGAGGUGAAGAGAAGACCCUUAAACCUCUAGG